AUGGGUUUAAAGUGUAAGUCGCUUUGGAUAAAAGCGUCUGCUAAAUUACCUGUA
Regulatory RNA element from Gasterosteus aculeatus (three-spined stickleback), 54 nucleotides. It matches the Rfam family "UnaL2 LINE 3' element". From Rfam's summary of the family: The eel long interspersed element (LINE) UnaL2 and its partner short interspersed element (SINE) share a conserved 3' tail containing a stem-loop that is critical for their retrotransposition. Presumably, the first step of retrotransposition is the recognition of their 3' tails by UnaL2-encoded reverse transcriptase. The record is from Rfam. Lineage: Eukaryota; Metazoa; Chordata; Actinopteri; Perciformes; Gasterosteidae.